GACGAAGGAUGCAAGCGUUAUCCGGAUUUAUUGGGUUUAAAGGGAGCGUAGGUGGCCUUAUAAGUCAGUGGUGAAAGACUGUCGCUUAACGACGGAAUUGCCAUUGAUACUGUAGGGCUUGAGUAUAGUUGCUGUGGGCGGAAUAUGACAUGUAGUGGUGAAAUACUUAGAGAUGUCAUAGAACACCGAUUGCGAAGGCAGCUCACAAAACUAUAACUGACACUGAGGCUCGAAAGUGCGGGGAUCAAACAGG
This 253-nucleotide ribosomal RNA is filed under the name uncultured bacterium. RNAcentral describes it as "partial 16S ribosomal RNA". It matches the Rfam family "Bacterial small subunit ribosomal RNA", at positions 524 to 776 of the family's 1533-position model. The record is from RNAcentral.